RNAcentral lists this ribosomal RNA (389 nucleotides) under Salmonella enterica subsp. enterica. RNAcentral's name for it is "bacterial SSU rRNA". It matches the Rfam family "Bacterial small subunit ribosomal RNA", at positions 1153 to 1533 of the family's 1533-position model. Lineage: Bacteria; Pseudomonadati; Pseudomonadota; Gammaproteobacteria; Enterobacterales; Enterobacteriaceae. The record is from RNAcentral. RNAcentral also lists the same sequence under 4 other names.
CAGUGAUAAACUGGAGGAAGGUGGGGAUGACGUCAAGUCAUCAUGGCCCUUACGACCAGGGCUACACACGUGCUACAAUGGCGCAUACAAAGAGAAGCGACCUCGCGAGAGCAAGCGGACCUCAUAAAGUGCGUCGUAGUCCGGAUUGGAGUCUGCAACUCGACUCCAUGAAGUCGGAAUCGCUAGUAAUCGUGGAUCAGAAUGCCACGGUGAAUACGUUCCCGGGCCUUGUACACACCGCCCGUCACACCAUGGGAGUGGGUUGCAAAAGAAGUAGGUAGCUUAACCUUCGGGAGGGCGCUUACCACUUUGUGAUUCAUGACUGGGGUGAAGUCGUAACAAGGUAACCGUAGGGGAACCUGCGGUUGGAUCACCUCCUUACCUUAAAG